GCGCGAAACCUUUACACUGCACGAAAGUGUGAUAAGGGGAUCCUCAGUGCUUAUGCUUAGCAUAGGCUUUUGCCAAGAGUAAGUAUCUUGGCGAAUAAGUGGUGGGCAAGACUGGUGCCAGCCGCCGCGGUAACCCCAGCGCCACAAGUGGUGGCCAGUUUUAUUGGGCCUAAAGCGUUCGUAGCCGGCUCGGUCUAUCUCAUGUGAAAUUGUUCGGCUCAACCGACCAGAUUGCAGGAGACACUGCCGAGCUUGGGACCGGAAGGAGUCAGAGGUAUGCUUGGGGGAGCGGUAAAAUGCUAUAAUCCCAAGUAGACCACCUGUGGCGAAGGCGUCUGACUAGGACGGAUCCGACGGUGAGGAACGAAAGCCAGGGGAGCAAUCCGG
RNAcentral lists this ribosomal RNA (387 nucleotides) under uncultured euryarchaeote. Its description in RNAcentral is "bacterial SSU rRNA". It matches the Rfam family "Archaeal small subunit ribosomal RNA", at positions 339 to 727 of the family's 1478-position model. Lineage: Archaea; Methanobacteriati; Methanobacteriota. The record is from RNAcentral.